RNAcentral lists this ribosomal RNA (124 nucleotides) under uncultured bacterium. Its description in RNAcentral is "partial 16S ribosomal RNA". The record is from RNAcentral.
GCCGGGGCUUCUUCUGCAGGUACCGUCAUCAUCUUCCCUGCUGAAAGAGCUUUACAACCCUAAAGCCUUCUUCACUCACGCGGCAUGGCUGGAUCAGGCUUGCGCCCAUUGUCCAAUAUUCCCC